GUCCGGGUGGCGCAACGCAGAGUGCUGCAGGUUGUUGGCCUGCAGGCCAGGGGUUCGAGUCCCGGCCAGGGGCA
Non-coding RNA from Merluccius polli (Benguela hake), 74 nucleotides. The record is from the annotation of a GenBank genome assembly. Lineage: Eukaryota; Metazoa; Chordata; Actinopteri; Gadiformes; Merlucciidae.